Molecule: ribosomal RNA, 241 nt
Filed under: Kryptoperidinium foliaceum
Lineage: Eukaryota; Dinophyceae; Peridiniales; Kryptoperidiniaceae
Description: partial Bacterial large subunit ribosomal RNA
Rfam family: Bacterial large subunit ribosomal RNA
Source: RNAcentral
GGGAAAGGUGAAAAGUACCCUGAAUAAGGGGGUGAAAAGACCCUGAAACCAUGCGCUUACAAGCGGUCGGAGCUCCGAUUUAUCGGGGUGACGGCGUGCCUUUUGCAUAAUGAGCCUACGAGUUACACCUAUUUGGCAAGGUUAAUCCUGUAGACAGGAGCAGCCGCAGCGAAAGCGAGUCUGAACAGGGCGCCAUAGUCAGGUGGGGUAGACGCGAAACUUGGUGAUCUACCCAUGGCCA